UACAGAGGUGGCUAGCGUUGUUCUGAUUUAUUGGGCGUAAAGGGUCCGUAGGCGGCCCGGAAAGUCAGGUGUGAAAUCCCACAGCUCAACUGUGGAACUGCACUUGAAACUCUCGGGCUAGAGUGUGAGAGGGGUGAAGGGAAUUCCCGGUGUAAGGGUGAAAUCUGCAGAGAUCGGGAGGAACACCAGUCGCGAAGGCACUUCACUGGCUCACUACUGACGCUCAGGGACGAAAGCUAGGGUAGCAAACAGG
Molecule: unclassified non-coding RNA, 253 nt
Filed under: uncultured bacterium
Lineage: Bacteria
Description: contains 16S-23S intergenic spacer region
Rfam family: Bacterial small subunit ribosomal RNA
Source: RNAcentral